AUUGAACGCUGGCGGCAGGCCUAACACAUGCAAGUCGAACGGUAACAGGAAGACGCUUGCUUCUUUGCUGACGAGUGGCGGACGGGUGAGUAAUGUCUGGGAAACUGCCUGAUGGAGGAGGAUAACUACUGGAAACGGUAGCUAAUACCGCAUAACGUCGCAAGACCAAAGAGGGGGACCUUCGGGCCUCUUGCCAUCGGAUGUGCCCAGAUGGGAUUAGCUAGUAGGUGGGGUAACGGCUCACCUAGGCGACGAUCCCUAGCUGGUCUGAGAGGAUGACCAGCCACACGGGAGCUGAGACACGGUCCAGACCCCUACGGGAGGCAGCAGUGGGGAAUAUGGCAAAAUGGGCGCAAGCCUGAGGCAGCCAUGCCGCGUGUAUGAAGAAGGCCUUCGGGUUGUAAAGUACUUUCAGCGGGGAGGAAGGGAGUAAAGUUAAGACCUGUGCUCAUGGACGUUACCCGCAGAAGAAGCACCGGCGAACUCCGU
This 489-nucleotide ribosomal RNA is filed under the name uncultured bacterium. Its description in RNAcentral is "partial 16S ribosomal RNA". It matches the Rfam family "Bacterial small subunit ribosomal RNA", at positions 29 to 506 of the family's 1533-position model. The record is from RNAcentral.